This is a long non-coding RNA of Poecilia latipinna (sailfin molly), 3301 nucleotides long. RefSeq lists it as uncharacterized. The record is from RefSeq and is a predicted model, not a curated record. Lineage: Eukaryota; Metazoa; Chordata; Actinopteri; Cyprinodontiformes; Poeciliidae. The transcript is spliced from 2 exons.
AAGAGCAAAAGAGACGGAUCUCAGUCACAUGACCAGAACCGACAGCACGGCGACGCCAACAAACUCUCACAUGGGUCGCAUUACAGAAGCUCUCAGAAUCCUCCUCUGUUUUCUUUCUGUGUAAAUAACAUUUUGUAACAGUUAUAAUUCAUCUGCUAACAGAUAUUUGAGCUGACCUCCAUUUCUUCUGAUUGCAUGAAGAAAGGAGCCGGGCUUUAUGCAACCAGAUGAGGAAUCUGGGUGAAGGUUCAUCGACACGGUGAGAAGAGCUUAGAGGGAGAAAACUGGCUGGAAGAGACGGUGACUCUGCUUUUAUGUCACAAAAAGCUCUUUCUGUUCCACAGAAGCAUUUAUUCUGGCUGAUUAGAGCGGCUGUGCAGCCUGUGCAGAGGAAUGCUGCCUGUUUAAUCUCAACCUCCAAGAACAAUGUGUUCCCGCUGGAUGUUCUGGCACCCAACUUUACAGCCAAAAAGAAAAAAAACGGAUUCAUUAUGAAACGGCCUCAUUACAACCUUUAAAGAUGUGCCUUGUCUUAAAGUAUUCAUAGCCCUAAAAUGUUCCUGUAUUUUGUCACAUUAUAACCACAAAUUUCAGUGUGUUUUACUGGGUUCUUAUGAGGUGAGAUCAGCAAGAAAAAUGGAACAUAAUAGUGAAGCAGAAGGAAAAUAAUUCACACUUUUCAAAAAUCCAUCAACAAGCUAAACCUCAGGCAAAGGUGGAGAAUAUUUUUAAUAUCAAUUUUCAAGUCUUUCCACAGAUUCUCAUCUAGAUUUAUCAUUUUGAAAUUAAGAUUAAUGUAGAAACCUAGUAAACAAAUACACACUUUGUUGCAUCUAUGUUUUUUUUUAUUUUAAGGCUUUAUUUGUCAAAACCUUCCAUUCUAAUGAAUAAUAUAAUAAGUUAUUAAUGUCUGAUUUAUUCUAGAACUUUUUGGAAGGUGAACCUUUCAGUCUCAAGUUUUUUGUGUAAGUUUUCAUCUUCUAGUAUUUGUCUUCAUUCUCCAAUCAACUCAGCUCUCCUGCUACAGAAAGAAAUCCCCACAGCAUGACGCUGCCUCCACUGUGUUUCACUCAGGGUGGGGUACCUUUAGUGGGACACUGUGAUGGUUUGACCGGUGUUUUCCACACGUUUCCUUCAGUUCCAUAUGUUUGCCGUGUCCCCGACUCAACCCUGGACUUUAAUGAGUAAGGCUACGUCUUGAUGCAACGCGAUGACAUGGCAACACAACAACAAAUCAACGCGACAACAAAACUACAUGUCAACAUGUAAACAUGUCCACAUGACAACAGGCAAACGCGUCGUCAUGUUGACAGCGUGUCAACAUGACGACGCGUUGACACAUCAACAUGAAGUCUCUUUAACUGGAGCAAGGAGAACAAACUCUCCUGUUUGUUCUCAAACAGGAGAGUUUGUUUGAGGAUUGUUGCAGAGGAUCUGACAGAACAGCAGGAACUAAAACUAAAUCUAAUCACACAGCAUUUAUCUUUCUGUCUUGAUUUUUCACCUUACCAAACAUUUAUGUGGUUAAAAUGAUGUAAAAAGGAAAGAAAGGGCAGUAAACUGCCACAGAAAGGUGAAGACAGAAGCUCCUCCACUCUUGUGGGAUCAGCAACGUCAGCACAAAAUAACUGGAAAACCCUGACUAGCACGGAACUUUUGUGUUCAGUGGGAAGGCCCUUCAUUCCCAGGCCAGGUGAACCUGUAGCGGUGGUGGAUGUUUCAGCUCCGAUCAGCAGUUAGUGAAACGUUACACCCCGGAGCACACAGGUUAUGCCUCUGAUUUACUCAUUUGUUUUGGCUCUAGCGUCUGAUUUACAACACCUCACUGCUGCAUCAGAAGCGUCACGGAAAUGGGGUCAUGUUUUGACGUUGGGAUUAUGAACAACCAUGUAAUAGUAAUAAAUAUUUGUAGGCGCUGGAUUCAAGAAGUGAGACUCAGCAGAAACGUUGGAUUCUGUAGCACUGAAUCUUCUCUAUUUGGAUGAAAAUAACAUCUAAAAUUUAAAUAUAAAUCUGGAUUGUUUUCAUUUUGCAGCAUGAACAAUUAAAAACGCAAUAUUACUGAAUCCCAUUUGAAUUCAGAAUAUUACUUCUCUGAUAUGAAAAGAAUGAAACAAAACUGUUUAUGUUAUAAUCUUGUACAGUAUGCUAUUAUUAUUAAUAUUGUUUAUAUAUUUUUUUAAACACUUUUUGAUCUUUCUUGUGAGCCUUUAUGUCUUUGAAUGUAACAAUAAGGGAUAUUUCUACUCUAAAAUGUCAAGAUAUUGCUUUUCCAGACUCAAAUCAAGUUUUCCAUCAAUUUUUGGGAGCAAAGACUGAAAACAUAACUAUUUUCCACACUUAGCAGGACCAGGAAAAUACAUUCAAUAUUUUCCAGACUUAAUGUACCUCACUGAAUCAGUGGCACACAGUCUUCACUGCUAGAACUAAUAAUAAUUAAUCUGGCCACUUCGAGCAGCCCUGUUACCUUAUACCUUAGGCCGGCUGUGCCCAAGUGAAGCAGGAACUUCUGAACCAGAUCUAUUAGCAUCGCUGUUAUCUCAGCCAGUAAUAUCAAUUUUAUUGAAUUCUAUUUGUUUGUAAAGUUAACUCUCAGACAUUAGAUUUACUAAAUCUUGUCUGUCUCUGAAUAUAGAUUUCCAUUAUGUGUGCAAAACUUUGUUGAUAUUCCACUAAAAUCAAAAAGACAUAAUUUUUCAAUGGCGUUUCCAUUAAAAAAGAAAUGCAAUUAAAAUCGCACAUGAAUAAGUUUCUUCACGUGAUAAGUUGUUAAAAAACAUGCCACACCAUCGUCAUCCUACCACUUCCUGUCUUCUUUUUCGUGGUUUCUGUCAGUAGUAACAUCCGGUUGUGAUUCGAAAAAAGUGUUUCUAUUGCAGCUUUGCGAAAUACAUUAAUUUAGAUCAGUGGUUCUUAACCUGGGUUCGAAUGCGCAUAUGAAACUGGGGGGGUCGGAACCUCAAAAAAGGUUAAGAACCACUGAUUUAGAUACACCUGAAAAAAACCUAAUGCAAAAACUUUAUGUAUAAAAAUGGGAGUGUAAUGCAAAAUUGUGGAGUUUCUAUUAAGUAGAUUUAUUUUCGAAAUGUUAAAUGGAAACACAGCUUGUGUUUCUGUCAUGAAUUUUAAAUGAUUGACAGUUUCAUGUUCCUCUCAGUCUUUUCACCCAAAUACUUCAUUAAAACUUCCACCAGUGAUUCCACACCUCUCUCCGGUCUGUCAAAGUUCAGCACUGACUCAUGAGGACAGCCCCAGUCCUUAUUAUAACCUCAGCUGUAGUGGGUUCCUUCAUAUUUAGCUC